AAAGAAUUAGUUUAAUUUUAUAAAACUUUAAUUUGUCAGGUUAAUGACACUGUGAAGUAUUCUUUU
RNAcentral lists this transfer RNA (66 nucleotides) under Tanna japonensis. Its description in RNAcentral is "tRNA-Asp". The record is from RNAcentral. Lineage: Eukaryota; Metazoa; Arthropoda; Insecta; Hemiptera; Cicadidae.